ACAAACUCCCUGGGGGUGUUUUCCCACUGCCCCAUUUAUAUACCUCCUAGGGCGAACUCACUCCCUAUGCCAGCCCUUGGAGUCCACAGCUAUGAAACUACUAGGUAAGGCCAUUGAUCUCCAGGCCUUAUCUGCAAGGAAUCUCAGACUAGUAUCACUAGCAGGCCCUUGGAAUUCCAACAGAGAGAAUCAAAGGCUCCUUUGUACAGGAUUUAGAAGCCAAGGACCCACUCUGUGCCCUUCUUCAGGUUCCCGGACAUCUCUGAGUCUGUCUCCCAAUCCUAAACACUUCCUACUGCGUUGCUAGGUUUCCUAGGGCUCACAAGCCAAGGCUACGGGUGGAUGUCUGCAAAAGCACCAACCCAAGGGCCUAGUUAUAGCAUCUGCUGUUGGCGCUCAGUAGAACUGUAUCCAGGGUUCCCUCCACUUGAAGAUGAGGAUGCAGAGGCUGAAUCCAGGCACUAUUCCACCUUUAGUGGCUGCUCAAGAUCCAAAAAAAAAAAAAAAAA
This 509-nucleotide long non-coding RNA is filed under the name Rattus norvegicus (Norway rat). Its description in RNAcentral is "long non-coding RNA NONRATT012839". Lineage: Eukaryota; Metazoa; Chordata; Mammalia; Rodentia; Muridae. The record is from RNAcentral.